RNAcentral lists this ribosomal RNA (540 nucleotides) under uncultured bacterium. RNAcentral's name for it is "partial 16S ribosomal RNA". It matches the Rfam family "Bacterial small subunit ribosomal RNA", at positions 355 to 888 of the family's 1533-position model. The record is from RNAcentral.
UGGGGAAUUUUGGACAAUGGGCGAAAGCCUGAUCCAGCAAUGCCGCGUGUGUGAAGAAGGCCUUCGGGUUGUAAAGCACUUUUGUCCGGAAAGAAAUCCUCUGGGUUAAUACCUCGGGGGGAUGACGGUACCGGAAGAAUAAGCACCGGCUAACUACGUGCCAGCAGCCGCGGUAAUACGUAGGGUGCAAGCGUUAAUCGGAAUUACUGGGCGUAAAGCGUGCGCAGGCGGCUUUGUAAGACGGAUGUGAAAUCCCCGGGCUUAACCUGGGAACUGCAUUCGUGACUGCAAGGCUAGAGUAUGGCAGAGGGGGGUAGAAUUCCACGUGUAGCAGUGAAAUGCGUAGAGAUGUGGAGGAAUACCGAUGGCGAAGGCAGCCCCCUGGGCCAAUACUGACGCUCAUGCACGAAAGCGUGGGGAGCAAACAGGAUUAGAUACCCUGGUAGUCCACGCCCUAAACGAUGUCAACUAGUUGUUGGGGAUUCAUUUCCUUAGUAACGUAGCUAACGCGUGAAGUUGACCGCCUGGGGAGUACGGUCG